GUUUGAAAGAGUUUGAUCCUAGCUCAGGGUUAAUGUUAGCGGUGCGCCUAACACAUGCAAGUCGAGCGGGAUUACUAGAAAGCUUGCUUUUUGGUAUGAGAGCGGCGAACGGGUGAGUAAUAUGUUGGAAUCUGCCCCCAAGUCAGGGAUAGCGAGAAGAAAUUCUCAUUAAUACCGGAUAGUCUCUUUGGAGUAAAAAUUUAUUGCUUGGGGAAGAGCCUGCAUUCUAUCAGCUAG
Molecule: ribosomal RNA, 237 nt
Filed under: Candidatus Peribacteria bacterium
Lineage: Bacteria; Candidatus Peregrinibacteriota; Candidatus Peribacteria
Description: partial 16S ribosomal RNA
Rfam family: Bacterial small subunit ribosomal RNA
Source: RNAcentral